RNAcentral lists this ribosomal RNA (253 nucleotides) under uncultured bacterium. RNAcentral describes it as "partial 16S ribosomal RNA". It matches the Rfam family "Bacterial small subunit ribosomal RNA", at positions 524 to 776 of the family's 1533-position model. The record is from RNAcentral.
UACGUAGGGGGCAAGCGUUGUCCGGAAUCAUUGGGCGUAAAGAGCUUGUAGGCGGCCAGAAAAGUCCGCUGUGAAAACUCGAGGCUCAACUUCGAGCUGUCGGUGGAAACUUUCUGGCUAGAGUCCGGAAGAGGAGAAUGGAAUUCCUGGUGUAGCGGUGAAAUGCGCAGAUAUCAGGAAGAACACCCGUGGCGAAGGCGGUUCUCUGGGACGGUACUGACGCUGAGACGCGAAAGCGUGGGGAGCGAACAGG